RNAcentral lists this long non-coding RNA (222 nucleotides) under Elaeis guineensis (African oil palm). Its description in RNAcentral is "long non-coding RNA (EGUI_LNC008270)". Lineage: Eukaryota; Viridiplantae; Streptophyta; Magnoliopsida; Arecales; Arecaceae. The record is from RNAcentral.
AGCAUCCGAUCUCUAUAGGAUGUCCACACGAAGUUCUAGUGCUGAUCGGUUUCCUCGGGAGUGUAAGCUCGUGCAAAGAUCUUUUCGAUAGUUGAUCUGGUUCCUUUCUGGAUCUCACAGACUCUUUCAAAAUUGAAGAUGGAUUUAGGAGAAUGAUGUGGUGGAAGACUGUGAAGAGGAGACAAACUCUCUUCUCUUCCCGAAACCCUAGAAUCAGAACCC